RNAcentral lists this ribosomal RNA (588 nucleotides) under uncultured bacterium. RNAcentral's name for it is "partial 16S ribosomal RNA". It matches the Rfam family "Bacterial small subunit ribosomal RNA", at positions 355 to 1375 of the family's 1533-position model. The record is from RNAcentral.
UGGGGAAUAUUGCACAAUGGGCGCAAGCCUGAUGCAGCCAUGCCGCGUGUGUGAAGAAGGCCUUCGGGUUGUAAAGCACUUUCAGCGAGGAGGAAGGUGGUGAGCUUAAUACGCUCAUCAAUUGACGUUACUCGCAGAAGAAGCACCGGCUAACUCCGUGCCAGCAGCCGCGGUAAUACGGAGGGUGCAAGCGUUAAUCGGAAUUACUGGGCGUAAAGCGCACGCAGGCGGUUUGUUAAGUCAGAUGUGAAAUCCCCGGGCUCAACCUGGGAACUGCAUUUGAAACUGGCAAGCUAGAGUCUCGUAGAGGGGGGUAGAAUUCCAGGUGUAGCGGUGAAAUGCGUAGAGAUCUGGAGGAAUACCGGUGGCGAAGGCGGCCCCCUGGACGAAGACUGACGCUCAGGUGCGAAAGCGUGGGGAGCAAAACAGGAUUAGAUACCCUGGUAGUCCACGCUGUAAACGAUGUCGAUUUUGGAGGUUGUGCCCUUGAGGCGUGGCUUCCGGAGCUAACGCGUUAAAUCGACCGCCUGGGGAGUACGGCCGCAAGGUUAAAACUUAAAUGAAUUGACGGGGUCAUAGCUGUUUCCU